UCCCUCCUGAGUGAUGAAAGUGCUGGAAGCCUUCCUUAGAUUCCAAGCCUACACAGCAUAACCAGAUUUGACUUAGCAAAGAUGUCUGCACUGAGAGACAAUGGGGUGAUUGCUUAUCAGUUAAUAAAAAGAACCCAACACUGACUUGUAAGUAGAUAUUACGAGUACGCACCAAAAUCUGCUCUCCUUCCCUUUCCUGAAUAUGGAAGACUUCUUUGCACUUUUGAGCCCUUCUGCAGUUGAGUGGGGCCAUGGCUCUGGCCAUUUGCAGUCUGCAGCAGAGAGGAGCUGCCCAGUGAGGACUUGCUAUCUGAAACUGCAGUCGCCAUGAGUUGGCAAAAGAUGGCAGAAUGGAAAUAGCGGAUCUUGGCCCUUGAUGGUAUCUUUGCACUGCUGAGACCGCCUUCUGCUGACUUCUUGUUAAGUGUGAGAAAAUAAAACAUCAUGAAUGCUUAAGGCCCUGGCAGACUGGAUUCUGUUAUUAGCAGCCAAAUGCAUCCUAACUUUACAAGUAUCUCAUGAACUGAAAUCAACCUGCAAAAUUUACAACUCACUUUUGUGAUGUAUGAGAAGAAUGCAAAAAAAAAACCACCCAGCACCAAACAUCCCUUCAGGAGGAAGAGACGGAUACCCUCAUCUUUUUUUCUUUUCAUUUGAGCUGUCCCAUGUUUGGGAAGUAAAAUGAGAAUUUUCAUAUAUAAACCAAACUUCUCCAUUUUCUCACUGGCAAGUGGUUCAAAACUAUUAGGUCAAGAAUCCUUUCUAAUUAGUUAAGAAUUAAUUAUAUUUGCUAAAAAGGCAGGCCUUUCUCUUACUAGUUUGGGUUAUUCUGCUCGGUUCACUCAUACUGGAGAGUCCUUGAAGGUAAGGAUUAGAGUAAUUGCAGAGCCUGAACAAUGGCUGUGAGUUCAGAAAUAUUCCACCAUUUGUGGGACAACAGCCUGGCCACCUAUCCUUAGAGCCGGACUCACGACUUUGGCCAAUACUGUUGCGGUGUGGAUUGGUAAGAGAAAAAAUAAUUUUUUUAAAGUAAGGUAUGAGGCUCUGCAGGCAUGGGGAUCCAUGUGGAAACACUGGUAACAGGUAGAAAUAAUGUGGCCCUCAGUUAAAAUUCUUCAGAGUUCAAAGA
This is a non-coding RNA of Manis javanica (Malayan pangolin), 1129 nucleotides long. The record is from RefSeq and is a predicted model, not a curated record. NCBI's taxonomy places the organism in Eukaryota, Metazoa, Chordata, Mammalia, Pholidota, Manidae.